GAAUUCAACUCCUACGGGAGGCAGCAGUGGGGAAUUUUGGACAAUGGGGGCAACCCUGAUCCAGCAAUGCCGCGUGAGUGAAGAAGGCCUUCGGGUUGUAAAGCUCUUUUGUCAGGGAAGAAACGGUAGUAGCUAAUAUCUAUUACUAAUGACGGUGCCUGAAGAAUAAGCACCGGCUAACUACGUGCCAGCAGCCGCGGUAAUACGUAGGGUGCAAGCGUUAAUCGGAAUUACUGGGCGCAAAGCGUGCGCAGGCGGUUUUGUAAGUCUGUCGUGAAAUCCCCGGGCUCAACCUGGGAAUUGCGAUGGAGACUGCAAGGCUAGAAUCUGGCAGAGGGGGGUAGAAUUCCACGUGUAGCAGUGAAAUGCGUAGAGAUGUGGAGGAACACCGAUGGCGAAGGCAGCCCCCUGGGUCAAGAUUGACGCUCAUGCACGAAAGCGUGGGGAGCAAACAGGAUUAGAAACCCCAGUAGUCCAGGCGUU
This 483-nucleotide ribosomal RNA is filed under the name uncultured bacterium. RNAcentral describes it as "bacterial SSU rRNA". It matches the Rfam family "Bacterial small subunit ribosomal RNA", at positions 328 to 803 of the family's 1533-position model. The record is from RNAcentral.